Molecule: ribosomal RNA, 512 nt
Filed under: uncultured bacterium
Lineage: Bacteria
Description: bacterial SSU rRNA
Rfam family: Bacterial small subunit ribosomal RNA
Source: RNAcentral
GAUCCUGGCUCAGGAUGAACGCUAGCUACAGGCUUAACACAUGCAAGUCGAGGGGCAGCAUAACGAAGCUUGCUUUGUUGAUGGCGACCGGCGCACGGGUGAGUAACGCGUAUCCAACCUUCCCUAUACUAGAGGAUAGCCCGGCGAAAGUCGGAUUAAUACUCUAUGUUCUUCGUAGAAGACAUCUGAAAUGAAGCAAAGGUUUACCGGUAUAGGAUGGGGAUGCGUCUGAUUAGGUUGUUGGCGGGUAACGGCCCACCAAGCCCACGAUCAGUAGGGGUUCUGAGAGGAAGGUCCCCCACAUUGGAACUGAGACACGGUCCAAACUCCUACGGGAGGCAGCAGUGAGGAAUAUUGGUCAAUGGACGAGAGUCUGAACCAGCCAAGUAGCGUGCCAGGAUGACGGCCCUAUGGGUUGUAAACUGCUUUUAUACAGGGAUAAAGUUCACUACGUGUAGUGUUUUGUAGGUACUGUAUGAAUAAGGACCGGCUAAUUCCGUGCCAGCAGCCGC